UUCACAAUUUCGGCAACACUAACGGGAAAAAAUAACUUAACUGGCAACGAAAAACUAUCUGUCAGUGAGUUGAAAAAAUAAUUUCCGGGGAGUGCACUGUGCACUCCUGAUCUUGGACUUUUCGGGUGCUUUAACCAGGAACCGCCGCUAAGGAACCGAUUUAAAAGCAAGCACCAAAGGCCGGUUACCGCCGCCAUCCUGCGCAGAUGGACGUUUCUUCAUCCUCGAUUCUAUAGCGGUGCCGUCGAUGGUUCAGAUGCGGGGAGCAAACUGCUUCUGGUUUACGAAGAAAGAUUAGUUGCCAAUCUCCAAGACGGAAGGCCUCAGGCAAACAAGGACAAAUUCUGCCAGGUACUGCCUCUUUCAUUUUGCAUGCGGAACUGCAACUAUGGCAAUCAGCAAGAUAACCGGGCAACAACGAACGGGUCUGGAUCACCAGUUGAGCAUGUUGAGUCCGACCCCACAGAAACCACCGAAUAAUUAUCGUCGAAUGAUUAAAUGAAAUCACCGGGCGGACAUCGGAUGCGCGUAAAGAAUUUAAGACAAAAAAAAAAAGAUUAAUUAAAAAAAAAAGUUAAAAAUU
Molecule: long non-coding RNA, 583 nt
Organism: Armigeres subalbatus
Lineage: Eukaryota; Metazoa; Arthropoda; Insecta; Diptera; Culicidae
Exons: 2
Source: RefSeq, a predicted model, not a curated record